Molecule: ribosomal RNA, 797 nt
Filed under: Streptomyces sp.
Lineage: Bacteria; Bacillati; Actinomycetota; Actinomycetes; Kitasatosporales; Streptomycetaceae
Description: bacterial SSU rRNA
Rfam family: Bacterial small subunit ribosomal RNA
Source: RNAcentral
CGAACGAUGAACCUCCUUCGGGAGGGGAUUAGUGGCGAACGGGUGAGUAACACGUGGGCAAUCUGCCCUUCACUCUGGGACAAGCCCUGGAAACGGGGUCUAAUACCGGAUACGAGUUCGGGAGGCAUCUCCUGGACUGGAAAGCUCCGGCGGUGAAGGAUGAGCCCGCGGCCUAUCAGCUUGUUGGUGGGGUAACGGCCCACCAAGGCGACGACGGGUAGCCGGCCUGAGAGGGCGACCGGCCACACUGGGACUGAGACACGGCCCAGACUCCUACGGGAGGCAGCAGUGGGGAAUAUUGCACAAUGGGCGAAAGCCUGAUGCAGCGACGCCGCGUGAGGGAUGACGGCCUUCGGGUUGUAAACCUCUUUCAGCAGGGAAGAAGCGAAAGUGACGGUACCUGCAGAAGAAGCGCCGGCUAACUACGUGCCAGCAGCCGCGGUAAUACGUAGGGCGCAAGCGUUGUCCGGAAUUAUUGGGCGUAAAGAGCUCGUAGGCGGCUUGUCACGUCGGGUGUGAAAGCCCGGGGCUUAACCCCGGGUCUGCAUCCGAUACGGGCAGGCUAGAGUGUGGUAGGGGAGAUCGGAAUUCCUGGUGUAGCGGUGAAAUGCGCAGAUAUCAGGAGGAACACCGGUGGCGAAGGCGGAUCUCUGGGCCAUUACUGACGCUGAGGAGCGAAAGCGUGGGGAGCGAACAGGAUUAGAUACCCUGGUAGUCCACGCCGUAAACGUUGGGAACUAGGUGUUGGCGACAUUCCACGUCGUCGGUGCCGCAGCUAACGCAUUAAGUUCCCCGCC